AGAUGUAACGGGGCUAAACCAUGCACCGAAGCUGCGGCAGCGACACUAUGUGUUGUUGGGUAGGGGAGCGUUCUGUAAGCCUGCGAAGGUGUGCUGUGAGGCAUGCUGGAGGUAUCAGAAGUGCGAAUGCUGACAUAAGUAACGAUAAAGCGGGUGAAAAGCCCGCUCGCCGGAAGACCAAGGGUUCCUGUCCAACGUUAAUCGGGGCAGGGUGAGUCGACCCCUAAGGCGAGGCCGAAAGGCGUAGUCGAUGGGAAACAGGUUAAUAUUCCUGUACUUGGUGUUACUGCGAAGGGGGGACGGAGAAGGCUAUGUUAGCCGGGCGACGGUUGUCCCGGUUUAAGCAUGUAGGCUGAUUGUCCAGGCAAAUCCGGAUAAUCAAGGCUGAGGUGUGAUGACGAGGCACUACGGUGCUGAAGUAACAAAUGCCCUGCUUCCAGGAAAAGCCUCUAAGCAUCAGGUAACAUUAAAUCGUACCCCAAACCGACACAGGUGGUCAGGUAGAGAAUACCAAGGCGCUUGAGAGAACUCGGGUGAAGGAACUAGGCAAAAUGGUGCCGUAACUUCGGGAGAAGGCACGCUGGUGUGUAGGUGAAGUCCCUGCGGAUGGAGCUGAGACCAGUCGAAGAUACCAGCUGGCUGCAACUGUUUAUUAAAAACACAGCACUGUGCAAACACGAAAGUGGACGUAUACGGUGUGACGCCUGCCCGGUGCCGGAAGGUUAAUUGAUGGGGUUAUCCGUAAGGAGAAGCUCUUGAUCGAAGCCCCGGUAAACGGCGGCCGUAACUAUAACGGUCCUAAGGUAGCGAAAUUCCUUGUCGGGUAAGUUCCGACCUGCACGAAUGGCGUAAUGAUGGCCAGGCUGUCUCCACCCGAGACUCAGUGAAAUUGAACUCGCUGUGAAGAUGCAGUGUACCCGCGGCAAGACGGAAAGACCCCGUGAACCUUUACUAUAGCUUGACACUGAACAUUGAGCCUUGAUGUGUAGGAUAGGUGGGAGGCUUUGAAGCGUGGACGCCAGUCUGCGUGGAGCCAACCUUGAAAUACCACCCUUUAAUGUUUGAUGUUCUAACGUUGGCCCCUGACCGGGGUUGCGGACAGUGUCUGGUGGGUAGUUUGACUGGGGCGGUCUCCUCCCAAAGCGUAACGGAGGAGCACGAAGGUUAGCUAAUCCUGGUCGGACAUCAGGAGGUUAGUGCAAUGGCAUAAGCUAGCUUGACUGCGAGCGUGACGGCGCGAGCAGGUGCGAAAGCAGGUCAUAGUGAUCCGGUGGUUCUGAAUGGAAGGGCCAUCGCUCAACGGAUAAAAGGUACUCCGGGGAUAACAGGCUGAUACCGCCCAAGAGUUCAUAUCGACGGCGGUGUUUGGCACCUCGAUGUCGGCUCAUCACAUCCUGGGGCUGAAGUAGGUCCCAAGGGUAUGGCUGUUCGCCAUUUAAAGUGGUACGCGAGCUGGGUUUAGAACGUCGUGAGACAGUUCGGUCCCUAUCUGCCGUGGGCGCUGGAGAAUUGAGGGGGGCUGCUCCUAGUACGAGAGGACCGGAGUGGACGCAUCACUGGUGUUCGGGUUGUCAUGCCAAUGGCACUGCCCGGUAGCUAAAUGCGGAAGAGAUAAGUGCUGAAAGCAUCUAAGCACGAAACUUGCCCCGAGAUGAGUUCUCCCUGAGACUUUAAGUCUCCUGAAGGAACGUUGAAGACGACGACGUUGAUAGGCCGGGUGUGUAAGCGCAGCGAUGCGUUGAGCUAACCGGUACUAAUGAACCGUGAGGCUUAACCUU
RNAcentral lists this ribosomal RNA (1778 nucleotides) under Klebsiella pneumoniae. Its description in RNAcentral is "bacterial LSU rRNA". It matches the Rfam family "Bacterial large subunit ribosomal RNA", at positions 1168 to 2925 of the family's 2925-position model. The record is from RNAcentral. Lineage: Bacteria; Pseudomonadati; Pseudomonadota; Gammaproteobacteria; Enterobacterales; Enterobacteriaceae.